RNAcentral lists this ribosomal RNA (254 nucleotides) under uncultured bacterium. RNAcentral's name for it is "partial 16S ribosomal RNA". It matches the Rfam family "Bacterial small subunit ribosomal RNA", at positions 524 to 776 of the family's 1533-position model. The record is from RNAcentral.
GACGAACCGUGCGAACGUUAUUCGGAAUCACUGGGCUUAAAGCGCGUGUAGGCGGGACGGCGCGUCGGCCGCUGAAAUCCCCCGGCUCAACCGGGGAAGUGGCGCCGAUACGGCCGUCCUGGAGCGACGUAGGGGGGACUGGAACUUCCGGUGGAGCGGUGAAAUGCGUUGAGAUCGGAAGGAACGCCCGCGGCGAAAGCGAGUCCCUGGACGUCGGCUGACGCUGAGGAGCGAAAGUGUGGGGAGCGAACAGG